GACAUAUCAGUCUGUCAAUGACUUAGAAUGAAGACACAGUACAUAGAAUCAGUCAUGAGCUGUGAGAUGUUAAACUGUUUUGUUGUGGGGCAGGUGUUGGCAUCAUGGUGACUUGAGUUUUCAAUUAGCAAUAAUCGUACCUUGGAUAAACCUCAUUGGCUACAAUACUGCCACUGUUCAAAGCU
This 185-nucleotide small nuclear RNA is filed under the name Cricetulus griseus (Chinese hamster). RNAcentral describes it as "U4 spliceosomal RNA". Lineage: Eukaryota; Metazoa; Chordata; Mammalia; Rodentia; Cricetidae. The record is from RNAcentral.